CAUCAUCAGAAACACACUGCUGGCUACACGCAGGUAAUGCUGGCGGCUUGGGAUGGUUUUGGGAGGUGACAGGUUCCCUUUAAAGGGGUUGUGCACAGGAUUUUAUAUUGAUGACCUAUCCACAAGAUAGUAGGGUCAUUUUCUGUGUAGAGCAGCACUUGUAUGUAGAGGAGACACAAUAUGGAUACUGUACAGUACAUGCACGUUCUGACACAGUUUGCGAUCUGUGGGUUAAAACAUCAUUAUUAUGAUUGAAGUACCGUAUAGAUACACAUAAAAGUGAUAAUAUGUAAAUUGAGAACAAUUCCACUUGACAGACGUCCUAUUGUAUACGUUUACCAUGUGUGGCGUUGGUUACCUAGGUAACGUGAUGCUUGUGGUGUUGUAUGCCGGCUAGAUUGACCGGCUGCAAGUGCGCGACCCGAUCAUGUGAUCUGGAUGGAGCGAGUGCUUGUAAUCACCCUUCACCACCGCUGCAAUGGAGACGACGUGUAGUGUAAUGAAGAGGAAACAGCGCUCGCAUGGAGCUGGUCAGAUAUUGAUGACCUUUAGAUAUUGUAUGUAAUAUUGUAGAUCAACUCCAUUUAAAUACCUAGGGCUAAGCUGCAAUGGCACGGAUAACCUUUGGAUAGGGGUGGCACUGUUGUUGGAAACAAGUUGACAGGUUUUUCUAAUCCUGUACCAGUCCUUUAAAAAUGUUUAAUGCUCUUUUUCAGGC
Long non-coding RNA from Bufo bufo (common toad), 718 nucleotides. RefSeq lists it as uncharacterized. The record is from RefSeq and is a predicted model, not a curated record. NCBI's taxonomy places the organism in Eukaryota, Metazoa, Chordata, Amphibia, Anura, Bufonidae. The transcript is spliced from 3 exons.